Molecule: transfer RNA, 72 nt
Filed under: Heterocephalus glaber (naked mole-rat)
Lineage: Eukaryota; Metazoa; Chordata; Mammalia; Rodentia; Bathyergidae
Rfam family: tRNA
About the family: Transfer RNA (tRNA) molecules are approximately 80 nucleotides in length. Their secondary structure includes four short double-helical elements and three loops (D, anti-codon, and T loops). Further hydrogen bonds mediate the characteristic L-shaped molecular structure. tRNAs have two regions of fundamental functional importance: the anti-codon, which is responsible for specific mRNA codon recognition, and the 3' end, to which the tRNAs corresponding amino acid is attached (by aminoacyl-tRNA synthetases). tRNAs cope with the degeneracy of the genetic code in two manners: having more than one tRNA (with a specific anti-codon) for a particular amino acid; and 'wobble' base-pairing, i.e. permitting non-standard base-pairing at the 3rd anti-codon position.
Source: Rfam by way of RNAcentral
UGGGGUGUAGUUUAGUGGUAGAAUGCUUGCCUUGCAUGCAUGAGGCCUUAGAUUCAAUCUCCAGCACUACAA